Long non-coding RNA from Oncorhynchus keta (chum salmon), 912 nucleotides. RefSeq lists it as uncharacterized. Lineage: Eukaryota; Metazoa; Chordata; Actinopteri; Salmoniformes; Salmonidae. The record is from RefSeq and is a predicted model, not a curated record. The transcript has 9 exons.
UGAAAGAUAUGAUUCAUUAUUGAUGUCACUUGUUAAAUCCACUUCAGUCAGUGUAGAUGAAGGGGAGGAGUCAGGUUAAAUCCACUUCAGUCAGUGUAGAUGAAGGGGAGGAGUCAGGUUAAAUCCACUUCAGUCAGUGUAGAUGAAGGGGAGGAGUCAGGUUAAAUCCACUUCAGUCAGUGUAGAUGAGGGGGGAGGAGUCAGGUUAAAUCCACUUCAGUCAGUGUAGAUGAAGGGGAGGAGUCAGGUUAAAUCCACUUCAGUCAGUGUAGAUGAAGGGGAGGAGUCAGGUUAAAUCCACUUCAGUCAGUGUAGAUGAAGGGGAGGAGUCAGGUUAAAUCCACUUCAGUCAGUGUAGAUGAAGGGGAGGAGUCAGGUUAAAUCCACUUCAGUCAGUGUAGAUGAAGGGGAGGAGUCAGGUUAAAUCCACUUCAGUCAGUGUAGAUGAAGGGGAGGAGUCAGGUUAAAUCCACUUCAGUCAGUGUAGAUGAAGGGGAGGAGUCAGGUUAAAUCCACUUCAGUCAGUGUAGAUGAAGGGGAGGAGUCAGGUUAAAUCCACUUCAGUCAGUGUAGAUGAAGGGGAGGAGUCAGGUUAAAUCCACUUCAGUCAGUGUAGAUGAAGGGGAGGAGUCAGGUUAAAUCCACUUCAGUCAGUGUAGAUGAAGGGGAGGAGUCAGGUUAAAUCCACUUCAGUCAGUGUUGGUGAAGGGGAGGAGUCAGGUUAAAUCCACUUCAGUCAGUGUAGAUGAAGGGGAGGAGUCAGGUUAAAUCCACUUCAGUCAGUGUAGAUGAAGGGGAGGAGUCAGGUUAAAUCCACUUCAGUCAGUGUAGAUGAAGGGGAGGAGUCAGGUUAAAUCCACUUCAGUCAGUGUAGAUGAAGGGGAGGAGUCUGGAUAAAGAAGGAUGUUUAAG